Molecule: ribosomal RNA, 253 nt
Filed under: uncultured bacterium
Lineage: Bacteria
Description: partial 16S ribosomal RNA
Rfam family: Bacterial small subunit ribosomal RNA
Source: RNAcentral
UACGGAGGAUGCAAGCGUUAUCCGGAAUUAUUGGGCGUAAAGCGUCCGCAGGUGGCACUUCAAGUCUGCUGUCAAAGACCGGGGCUUAACCCUGGAGAGGCAGUGGAAACUGAAGCGCUAGAGUGUCGUAGGGGUAGAGGGAAUUCCUGGUGUAGCGGUGAAAUGCGUAGAGAUCAGGAAGAACAUCGGUGGCGAAAGCGCUCUACUGGACGACAACUGACACUCAGGGACGAAAGUGCGGGGAUCAAACAGG